Molecule: ribosomal RNA, 240 nt
Filed under: uncultured bacterium
Lineage: Bacteria
Description: partial 16S ribosomal RNA
Rfam family: Bacterial small subunit ribosomal RNA
Source: RNAcentral
GAUCCUGGCUCAGGAUGAACGCUGGCGGCGUGCCUAACACAUGCAAGUCGAGCGAAGCACUUUGCUUAGAUUCUUCGGAUGAAGAGGAUUGUGACUGAGCGGCGGACGGGUGAGGUAACGCGUGGGUAACCUGCCUCAUACAGGGGGAUAACAGUUAGAAAUGACUGCUAAUACCGCAUAAGACCACAGCACCGCAUGGUGCGGGGGGUAAAAACUCCGGUGGUAUGAGAUGGACCCGCG